UACUUCACCAAACGCCAGCCUCCCAUGUCCCACCUCAUCUCUCUGUUCGUACCAGACUCCUCCUCCAAUAACAUCCAGAUGCUGUCACAUGGCUCGGCUGACCUCAUCCUGGAAGCCUGCACUGACUUCUGGGAUGGAACUGAUAUCUACCCCCUGUCGGGCUCAGACAGGUGCCGUCACACUGAUCGCUCUUCUGUGGCUGUAAAUCUUGAGUCAGACACAAGUAUCAAAGUUUCAUAAGCACAGCACAG
Toxotes jaculatrix (banded archerfish) is the source of this 251-nucleotide long non-coding RNA. RefSeq lists it as uncharacterized. NCBI's taxonomy places the organism in Eukaryota, Metazoa, Chordata, Actinopteri, Toxotidae. The record is from RefSeq and is a predicted model, not a curated record. The transcript has 2 exons.